RNAcentral lists this long non-coding RNA (1295 nucleotides) under Salmo salar (Atlantic salmon). Its description in RNAcentral is "lncRNA (ENSSSAG00000094755.1)". The stretch from base 788 to 833 matches the Rfam family "Histone 3' UTR stem-loop". The record is from RNAcentral. Lineage: Eukaryota; Metazoa; Chordata; Actinopteri; Salmoniformes; Salmonidae.
GGAGCACGUUCUAUUGUGGGUCAAGAAUUCAGCAUAGCAAGUUUGUAUGAAGGUCUGGUUAUUAAAUGGGUACCUAGUUCAAUAGUAAUAUCCUCUAAAACGCUCGUGACAAACACACUUUGCUGACCUGUUUCCAACUGGCCACAUGGCUGGAAGACCCUAUUCAGGUAGCUAGCUAACAGCCAUGGAGGAGCGGGAAAGGAUAGCAGCCACAACUGUCAAAGUGAAAGAGUAGGCUAUUCUGGAUAGGGCAGGUACUUUUGUGUAGUUCCUGUCCCUAGAAGUAAAGACGGAGAUAAUAGUAACAUAAUAUUCAGUGCAGUGUAAUUUCACUAUAAUAAAGUCUGUUUCUUGUGAGGAUUUCUGUCCUCAGAUAAAGAGAGCUAUGAAAGCCUGUCUUCAUAUGAAGAGGUCCCAAUGAAGAGCAGUGGUUCUCAGUCCUGGUCCUGGGAACUCAAAGGGACACCUUGUAACUGGAGAUUCCUUCAAAACGAUUGCCUACAGUUAACAUGUAGGGCACUGCAAGGCUGGGUGACCAGGGCCAUCUGGGACUGCCUCCUGGAGGAUUUCAGGUGUCUGAAGGCUACCUGUGUCCUGCAUAACUUCAUGAGGAUGGACACGAGGACCAGGAGGGGAUCUGAAACUCGCCGCCGUGUGCUGCUCUGCAAGAUGUUUCAAGGAUGGGGUCCAACAACGCAGCAAGAGAGGCAAUCAGUGUGUGGGAGAUCUUCACCUCCUUUGAAGAGGGUGCUGUUCCCUGGCAACACCAUAGACUACACUAUGCACAACAAAGGCUCUUUUAAGAGCCAUUCACAUUGUGAUAAGAUUAUUCUUCCGUUUACUUAGCUAUGUCAACUGCAGUUAUUCAAUUUUCAGUUUCUCUCCUUUUGAUUUCUACUUCUCAGGUGAGGGUGCUGUUUAGUAAGCAGGCUUAGGUGUGUAACUGUGGCUCCUUCCACCUUCAAAGAAUAGGCAAGAGGGCCAAUCAUGGAGAAUAGUAAGAUACUUCAUUAUGUCUAUAACUACUCUAUAUUGUUUGUCCUCGUGUGUCCGUUCAUGUUUUUCAGCAUAAAGUACUCUGCAGCCACUUAGUGUGGUGUGGACACCAGGAGAGGCCACACAGAAAUUCCUGUUGAACACGGUCACUUUAACUACCUUAUUUUUCAAUAACAGUCUCUCAACUUCACUUCAUCCCUCUCUCCUCUUCUCCCUAAAUCCUCUAGGUUAUAUCAGCUGUGUCAGUGAACCCCUCCCACAUCUGAACUGGCUACAUAGAGGGCACAGCAUGAUCAGAG